GUUAAAUAAGUAGCCUUGUUUACGUUAGGUAUAAACUUAAAAAACAAAAAUAAUAAUAUUUUUAAAUUUUUUAAAGCUUUAUAAUUAAAUUACCAGUCUAUAAUUACUCAGUUAAAGAUGCUUAGCAGUAUGUCGCUGGUGGAAUAAUAAAUUAUUAUAAUAAAAAAUGUCAACUUUGUGGAAAUGCGACGGUAUGAUGGUGCAACAGUAUAUUUGUGUAGCAGUAUCAACCUAAGUUUGAUUAUAUAAAAAGAAUAUUGUGAAAGUAUAGACUAUUCUGGCAUGUUGAUACCAUGGCUGUUUUAACAUUUAUAUGAUUUAUAAAUUCAAAUCCUUCUGGCACACUUUUAGAGUUCAUUUUAUAAAUCAAUUUAUUGAAAUAUAUUGAUCAAUGCAUUUAAUAAGUACUCUUCUGGUACAAAAGCAGGCUUGUAAUUCCAUGUGGAAAAAUCGAAUUUCUUCCAAAAAUGCCCAAGUUUCAACCAAGUUGAUAUUUUUUAAAAGAACUUAAAAACCAUGUUAUUUUAUUUUGCUAUUUAUAUUGUGUAAAGAUAUUUUGAUCUUAUUUUUAAAAUAAAGUUUUAGUGUAGC
Hydra vulgaris (swiftwater hydra) is the source of this 591-nucleotide long non-coding RNA. RefSeq lists it as uncharacterized. The record is from RefSeq and is a predicted model, not a curated record. Lineage: Eukaryota; Metazoa; Cnidaria; Hydrozoa; Anthoathecata; Hydridae.